GACUGGCUGGCCUAAUGGUAAGGCGCUCCUUUCCGGUUUUACAUCAUUGAUCGAUCUGGGAGAGAUUGUGGGUUCGAGUCCCACGUUAGUCU
This is a non-coding RNA of Arachnomyces sp. PD_36, 92 nucleotides long. NCBI's taxonomy places the organism in Eukaryota, Fungi, Ascomycota, Eurotiomycetes, Onygenales, Arachnomycetaceae. The record is from the annotation of a GenBank genome assembly.